Molecule: long non-coding RNA, 3438 nt
Filed under: Heterocephalus glaber (naked mole-rat)
Lineage: Eukaryota; Metazoa; Chordata; Mammalia; Rodentia; Bathyergidae
Description: lncRNA (ENSHGLG00000045714.1)
Source: RNAcentral
AGGUCCCAGGAAAGAUGCCUGUGGCUGUUGCUGGCAGGAUGUGUGCCUGGCAGCCUCCUCAGUUCCUCCCUUAAAUGCCCCCACUUUCUCUCUGCCACGAUGCUUAUUUUGUCAUCUUGAAAACCACCAGUAAUAGAGGAGAUUCAAGCAGACGCUGAUUCUCAAUGUCCACCUUUGUCACAGAUGGGAUGCAUGAAUGUCUGUUCUGCAUUUAUGCUCUUACUAUCGGUCACAAUCUGUGUGUGUGAAGUCUUUUGCAGAAACAUCACGGCAACGCAGAAGUUCAAAGAAAAGCUCCAUCAAACUUGAUGGACUGAUGAGACUCUUACUUCUCAGCAAGCUUAAAGCGUUGUAAAAUGUCUUUCGAAGAUCUGGCUCUAAGACAGUGUAACUGUAGGAGAGAAGAUCCUUCAGCUCAUGAGGAAAGUUACUUAGAUGUCCAGGUAGCAGUGACCAAUCUGGGCCAUAAACACCACCAGCUCUGCCAGUCCUCUGCUGGGUUUACUUGGUUGUAACUUGAAAACCUCCACACUGGAUCAGAUGCGUAACUGCAGUGGGUUGCUGGGCAGCUUGUUGUUGUUCCUGCUGGACACAUUGGCCAAAGACCGGCUGUUCGAGGAGCGCUUCCAGAAAGGCUUGCACGCACUGCGGCUGGACUCCAGCUCCUGAGCCUAGCUUGAAACGGCACGUGGGUGCAGCCAGCAGGAAGGGCCGCAUUGACUUCUAAACUGUGUUCGCUUAUUGGCCUCUGUUCAAAACUAGACUGGUGAAAUCUAAAUCUUACAGCCUAUAGAGAUCAACGGUCCUCUUACAAAUGAAAUGCCACAUUGAUCUCUUGAAAGCCUGCCAAAUGUUUACUUACAUGGAAUAGAUAUUAUGGCUUAAUCUUUACUGCAUUUUUUUCCUGAUGAUGUCUGUGGUCUCUGAAGGGUUUUUUGAAACAAGGUCUUGCUGUCUAGUCCAGCAUGGCCUCAAACUCCUUAUGUAGCCCAGGCUGACUCCAACAUGUGGUCCUCCUCCCUCAGCCUCCCAAGAGCCAGGAUUACAAGUGUGCACCACCAUACUCAAGGGCUCUAAUUGUGAAACUAUUUUUAUUGAAAUGAAUAAUGAUUUUCUUGUUUCCAAAGAAACUUUUCCCGAAAGGAAAAGUAGUUAAAUGAUAUUUUAAAUUAGAAGAUGAAAACAAAGAUUGCCGGGAGCAUGUAUUUUCCCUAAUAAGACAUAAAGGCAUAUUCGCAUAGUAGUUAAGGGCAUGAAUUAUGGUGCCAUGCUGCAUAGCUUUAAAUCCCAGAUUUGCUGCUUAUAAACUGUAUGAUCUUAGACAUGUCAUGUAAUUUCUCUAAACUUUAGCUUUUCUUAUCUGUAAAAGGGGACAAAUGGUUCCUGCCUCACAGGGUCAUCAUGAAGCUGGGUGUGGUGCGCACGCACCAGGCAGCGGCACCACUGAACUAAAUCCCCAGAUCACCCUAGUUCUAAUAUUGGCUCUUCUGCCUCUACUUUAGACUAGAUUAUUCCAUGGACAGACAGUUUGAGUUGCCCAAAGAAUCCCUAUUAUUGAGCUAAAGUCUAGCUUAAGAUGAAGGAUUGUUUAACUCUGAAGGACAUUAAGAAUUUUUAAUGUCCUAUAUAAAUCCUUACACUAGGAAAUCAAAGAUAGAUGCUACACCUUGCUUUUAUUCCUACUUGUGGGAUAGCAGAUAAUUUAUUUGUUUUAACAAGCACUUCUGGUGGUGUGUGCCUGUAAUCCCAGCCACUUGAGAGGCUGAGGCAGGAGGAUUACUUGAGCCUAGGGGCUCAGAAGCAGCUGGGCAACACAGUGAGACACCCUGUUUUUUUAAAAAACAAAACAUUUCUAAGGAAAGAUGCUUGUUUGCUGUGUGCAACAACCAGCAGUUGACUAGAACCUGUUACUAAUUUAUUCCCAAACUCCAGCCGAUUUUGGUUAUGCUCCACUGGGCAUUCGUAACCCUGAAGAGCUAGAAUGAAUUGUCCAGGACACUGAGCAGGGGCCACCUGCCUCAUCAGGGAGAGAGCAGCCAACUGGCACCUAGGGCCUGAAUCAGUGGGGAAGGAAACCACAGAGCCCUUCAGGAUCAAUCUUCAUUUUUCUUUGUCGUCCGAGCUACAAAGAGGCACUGAGGCAUUGCAGAAGCAUAAAUCUUUAAAAAUCUGCAGUGUUAGUCACUCUGCCUUAUUAUAACCCCACUGUGCCUGUGCUUUGUAGGAAAGACUAAAAUCUAGCUGGCCCAGCCCCCACCUAGUAAGCUUGUGAACUCUCAUCAUAAAACAUAGGGCAAUCAAAUCCUCUUGUAGGAGAUGAAUGGAGGACGAGAGGAGCCCAUUCGCCUGCGUAGUAAUCAUUCUCUCCAACCUCCAAGGGAUGCAGCAGGGUGGGAAUGUAAGGAAGACAGCCCUUUGUUUGGCUGGGUGCAGCCGCACUCACCCUGUCUGCAAAGGGCCUCUUCAUGGGAGAUCUUUCAAAAUUACAAAAUGCAGGGCUGGGGAUUUAGCUCAGAGGUUUCGCCGCCUGCUGUGCAAGUGCAAGGUCCCAAGUUCGAUCCCUGGUACCAAAAAAAAAAAAAAUUACAAAAUCCACAAUGACAUUAGUCUAGCUUCUGCUUUAAAGUGAAAAAUGUCACAAAGCUAAUAUUAUAUGGUUCUAUAAAGAAAAACAUACAUGAGCUCUGUUUCAAGGGCCUGUAAAGUCCCCUCUCCAUUAUUUCCAUUUUGUUUUAUUUAUUUGUUUAUUUAUUUUUUGGUACUGGGAUCGAUCUUGGGACCUUGCGCUUGCGAGGCAGGUGGCAGAACCACUGAGCUAAAUCCCCGCCCCUGUUAUUUCUAUUUUAAAUUACUAUGUAUACUCCAUUUGAUUUUAAGGGAAAAAUAUGCUCUUACAAGCUAGAUGUUUUUCAGGAAUUUGGAGAUGUCUGAUGAGAUGGUAAUAAAAUAACAGCUGAAAGCAAUGAGAAACGCUCAUACAUAGCAAUUUUCCCAGCUGUUUUUGCUCUUUUCUCUUUUAUACCCAGGCGAUUUCUGGCUUUUUCUUCAGCACUGAUUCGAAAUCAAUACUCCAGGAGAUCUGGCUUCUGUUGUCCUAAAGGAAAUCCCUUCUCGCCAGGGUGAACCUAGCGUAGCUGGCGCACCAUGGUCUCUGCUGCAGCAGAAGGUGCCAGAGCCUUCUGGGACAUUUUUCUGAUAAUUCCAUAAAUCCCUGACCCGAUGGGUUUUAAAAAUUGAGGUGAUAUUUACAUAAUAUAUCAGUCAUUUUUAAGUGAAUGAUUCAGGACAUUUGGUAUAUUUACAGUGUUGUACAGCGCCUCCAUCUCAUUCCAAAACAUGGCCUUCACUCCAAAAUAAAACCCCACACCCACUGAAUAGUCAGUCACUCCCCACCCCUGGCAGCCCCCAGUCUGCGUUCUGUCCCAGUGGACUUUGGAA